RNAcentral lists this long non-coding RNA (272 nucleotides) under Homo sapiens (human). Lineage: Eukaryota; Metazoa; Chordata; Mammalia; Primates; Hominidae. The record is from RNAcentral.
GCUGAUUCACAGGUUGACAAGGUCAGAAAAAGUGGCUCUUGUUGAAAGUUAUUUUUUCCUGCGAUGUACAUUUUUUUAUGGUCUUUGGAAUUAAAAUGUGAUGCUGAUUGUCUCUGGGGAGUCUCGGAAGAGUAGAGUUUGCCACGGUAUCACUUAGUGAUUGUGGACAUUCAUUAAAAAGAGGCUGAGCCAACAGAAGAAAGAUUGCAAAUGUGCCCUUGUAAAUGGGAUUGUGAAGAGCAGUCUUCAGUCUGAGACCCAUCCCUAGGUAA